GGGAAGAAAGCGAAGUCCAUCCUCAUCCUAUAGACAACUGAUAGGAUGAGGAUGGACUUAGCUUUCGCCC
Bison bison bison is the source of this 70-nucleotide microRNA precursor. The record is from Ensembl. Lineage: Eukaryota; Metazoa; Chordata; Mammalia; Artiodactyla; Bovidae.